Molecule: transfer RNA, 67 nt
Filed under: Atlantirivulus santensis
Lineage: Eukaryota; Metazoa; Chordata; Actinopteri; Cyprinodontiformes; Rivulidae
Description: tRNA-Cys
Source: RNAcentral
AGCCUUAGAAGUAAUGUUACGCUAGAUUGCAAAUCUAGAAAAGCGGGUUAGCCGCCGGCCGGGGCUU